Non-coding RNA from Mus caroli (Ryukyu mouse), 5285 nucleotides. The record is from RefSeq and is a predicted model, not a curated record. Lineage: Eukaryota; Metazoa; Chordata; Mammalia; Rodentia; Muridae.
GUGCAAGAGAGGAGCCGGCUCAGCAUCCGAACUACAUCUGGUGAGCAUUCCCCUGCCCGGCCCAGGGCAUGCCCCAGUUCACUUUCGCCUGUUUCUGUGGUCUUCACGGCUUCUGCAAGAUGAAGAGGAAGAAGGACGAAGUUCACAGAGAGAGGGAGACAGUGGUGUGAGGAGAACCAGGGUCUCCCUUGUCAGUUUCCAGUGGAUCUGAGCCUAAGGCUGCUGUGGUGCUCAGAGCGUGUGUCUUCCAUCUUUAUUUAACUGGUACCUGACCAACCUGAGGACAUCAGCCUUCUUGUGCCCACCCCUGUUAGCUACCAAUCUUUUGUGCUCCUGGAGAGGCCUCAGUUACACAAGGGUUUUCCCAGGAUCUGCCACUUGCCUUCUGGAGACUGGACAGCCUCCCUAGGAUCAAGGAAUGAAACUUUGGGGCUCUUCUCAGGGGACCCCUCCCAUGAAGCUUAUGCGGCCUUGGGAGAGGAGAGCAGUUGCUAAACAGCAAAGUAACUGUUUUUGCAGACCUUGGAGGGUUUGAUGUAUGCGACACCACCAUCAAACACAAGAUGGAGUCUAUGCUGGGGCCCCAGGGUCUUAGCCCUUUCUUUGCAUCCUCUUGGGCCAGGUGGGCCAGGACUGAGAUGGAGGACCGAACUAGACAUUUGAAGGGUCAGGCAGUAGAAGGCUCUUCUGUGUGUCUGGCCCUGACCUACCAGUUUCAUGAAGCCCUCAGUUCUUUGUCAGCACACAGAUGUGGGGAGACCUUUCCUCAGGCACUAAGCCCCUCAGGGACUGUCCCUAGAGCUCGGCCACACCACUGAUCCCAUUUUGUUUACUCACACCCUGCCUCGUUCCCUUCUGUCCUUGGGAAGCUGGAGUGGCUAUUAUGUUGGCACAGCGCACCUUCUGAGCACAGGGAAUUCUAGGACUGUCCUAGACUUUCCCCCUCAUCUUCCCAGUCCCGUGUCACCUCCUUCUUCAGGAGCUCGUGGCCAUUUUUAGGAGCUCAGAAGCAAAAGCAUUUCCUUCCUUUCCCUUCCUCCCUCUCUCCUUCCUUCCCUGGCUUUGUCAUUGUGCUUGUGUCUCUUGGGUGCUAGAGGAAGAGGUGGGGAUUACGAACCAACUCUUAGCAGCAGGGAGCAGCUUCUGGUCUGCUAGCCUGCCGCCCUCCUCACUGGGACAAGCAGUUCUGCAUACAAGGGAGAUGUCACAUUCCCACCACCGUCAGGGUCAAAGAUGGAGGAAGGUCUGGACUCAGCGAGAGACUCUGAGUAAACAGGGAAGGGUGUUUCUUGGGCUUUCUGCAGAUUUGCUGGGAUCAAGGUUGUCUUGGUGGAGCCUGAGCUGCUAGCUUCUUCUCUGCUAUUCUCCACUGGCUUUUUCGCCUCUGCCUUCCCACCUGAACCACCUACUGUCUGUUAUUUGCCUUUAUAUUCAAAGAUUUAUAAACAAAUCCUUCCCUCAGGGAAAUAGCAAGCUUCUGCAGUAAAGGCCAGUGGAGGUCACAAAGAAUAAAGCAAACUUUCCAGAUUCUUUGUCCUCUGAGAUGACAGAGGCCUUGGGUGAGGCAGAAAUGGCAGAAAAGCUUCAGGGGGCUAACUUUGCUACAGAAACCAGAGAUUCCCCCCCCCCGCCCCCCUCCAGUGUUGCUAGCUGCAGGCUGCCUUCAAGGCUGCAAUCAGAGAAGUCUCUCUGGAACUGGAGGGUGAAAUCAUAUCCCUGUCACUAAGAAGCGUUGGGUGUUAUGUCCCAACCACAUAGGCUCACCCAGAGGACAGUCAGAUAACAGAGAACUAAGGUCUGGGAGGAGACAGCAAAGGGCAGCAGGCCUGUGCUUACUUCCCAGGCUUUGGCAGGGAGGCAGCCCCAGGGGUUGGCAGGAAGCUGGCGCAGGGAGCUGCUUCCCCCACAUGCCCUUGGUAUGGUAGAGACACUAGAUAUCUUGAGCCCUUGCUAUAGGAACAUGGGAGAUUCAAGGUUUUUUAAGUGUAGGCCCCACCACUGCUCGCAGACCCAAUGUCCUUGCUCUCUUCAUCCAGGGUAAGCUGUGUAGCCACGCUGUAGCAGGCCUGGCCUGAGCAGGAGGGAGGAACAGCAACUUGCAAACACACGCGUUGUUUUGACUGUUGGAGAUGGGGAUUCUGUUCUCAGCAUCUAGGAAGCAGCUGGAAACCCGUUUCCAGUUCUGCAUCUGGUGGGUUCAGUCGAUUUUGUAUUAUCUGUUUAAAGUCCCCUCCACUCUGCCUGAGGGAAGCCCAGCCCAUGGAUCCUUUUAGGAUCUACUUCAGUGGCCCUGUACUCUUAGGGUGAGGCAGGUGUGCAUACCUUCCAUUCUUACAGCUUGACACUCAUCCUUAGAGGGUGGAGACCCUGUUCCAACUUAAACAGGGAUUCCACCUCUUGGGCUACAGAACUAGUCAGUGAGAGCGGUGUAUAGAUGGCUUGUGGGGUCACUGGGACUUGAGUGUCUUCUAAGACGCUGGUCCAGGAUGCCCAAGGGCUUCUUGUCUCAGGUGAAAGAUAGUUAAUCAGAAUGUCAUUUCCUGUCUCUGCUCCUAAGGGAGGCAGGCAUUUUGAAUGUAUGGAUCCAUAGAAAUCAAUAGAGAAAUUGCUAUUUUUUUUUAAGAAGAGAAUUUUAAAAAGCAAUAAUUUAACUGAAGUAGACAUGCAAUGUAAGGAACCCUGAGCCAAGAGCAGGUCUCCUGGGUUCGGGCUCUGCUUGAGUGCCAGUGAUACUGUGACAUUGGAUGAGUCAGGCCUCAUUUCUGGGACUGGUUUCUUCAGCUAUAAAGGGGAUUGCGCUGGUCUCCACUGAGGCCAGUUCUUUGUGGAAUGUCAGGCAUCCUAUGCCCCAGAGGAUGUGUUCUGAGUAACGGGCAGAUCUGAAGUGGUGGAAUGUGCGGGAAAGCCUAGAUCAGAGCUUCUACAAUGUUCCUCCAGGGAGGGCUGGGACAUCUUUCCUCCCUCCUGGAUAGACUCAAGGGGGUAGUCUGUAGCUGGCACUGACUUCAGGCCCUGACAGUUGCUGUCUUUGGAUUCUACUAUGGCUCAGUUGCUGAAGAGAUUCAGAAGAGCCUGACUCCUGCUUGGGUUCACUUUGUACAGCGGGCCAUCGCUAAGAUGAUGGAACCAUUCUCCCCCACUCCUCCAAUGGGAUUUGUACAGCAGUGACUGGAUGGGAGGUGAUGCUGUCUGCAUGGGACAGUACAGAUUUCCUCUUCCCCUGUCACUCCCUGGGCACUGACUACGAUUGACCAAAGAAACUGCUUCCUCUUUCCCAAGGAUGGGUCCUACACCUGCCCUCCCUACCCCACGUGAAAGGCGCCUUGUGUUGGAUGAAGCCAGACAUGGCCGAAGCUUAGAGAUGGACCCUUGGACCCUUUUUCCCAACCAAAAAGGCAGGCUUUCACCCGGAAAGGGAGUCUGGACUGCUGCAUCCAAUAGUCUCGUAGCUGCUGCUCCAGGAGGUCCACCAUUCACCCUGACGGUUGCUGCUGUGCCUGGCAAGUCAUUGGGCUGACUGCACCUCAGAAACCAGAGGUUCCUUUUCUAGGGAAGAACUGCUGCAUCUUCAGUACACAAGGAAGACCAGUCAUAGCUACCACCUCCGUCGCCUGGUCCUGAUGUGAGCCUUCAGUGUGCAAUAUGUGCUGCUAGCCAGUCUAACACCAGGAUGCCUGGCUUGUCAGAACAAGUCCCCCAUAACCACUGGUACCCCCAGACCAGUUAGAUUUAGUAGGUACCCACCAUGAAUGCUAGGGUUACUGCACAGGCCCCUUCUCUAGAUUCUUGUGUGAAACCAUUGGCUCCUCAACAAGCAGAAAGGGAAGGCAGGAGAGAAGACCAUCCACAAGUGGAGUGAGCCAGGAGCUGCUCAAAGCAUUUACACCAAAGAAAACAUUUCAGAAGCCAGGGACCCUGUAACUCGAGCCCUGGCAGAAGGAGCCAGGGUCUGAAACCCAAGGGGUUUCCUAGUGGGCUUCUGGUCAGUUCCCUUCCCUGCAGGAGCAGUCUCCUCCCUUAGUUCAUUCCUGCAUUCCCUCCGAGGGGCGGGAGGAAUGCCAGCAGGGGAGAUGGCAGGACCUAGACACAUCCUCAGGACUCUCCCAGCCUCCCUUGCCAUGGCAACGCUGCUAUUUUUAUCCUGUUGUUCAUGAUGCUCAAAGCUCUGACUUUCUCUGUUCCAGAGAGCCCAGCUGCCUUCUGCCCCCAUCCCUCAGCAUAGCACCUUCUCGAAGAGGCAAAGGGGUAAGGAAGAAAGGGGGGACACAUUUAAGUCUUCCUUCUCUAGAGGGACCUAUUUGGUUUGCUGGCUUAAAUAACCAGUUUUGGGUUUUCUGAGAGGUCUGAACUAUGAUCAAGUAGGAAGGGCCACUGCUGGGGUGCCUUCCCAGUGAGCCCUGACAUGCACUGCUGCCUCUUUUGGGAACACCUGAGGUUCUGAGGAAUGUCCUGUUGGCAUAAGCAAUACAUAAAGUACUCUGCUUGGCCAGUUAGCAGUCAGAUAACUUGAUGUUGCUGUGGAAUUUAAGCUACUUCUCCUCUAUCCCUCUACCAAGGAGCCAGGACAUAUACACUUGCAUCUUUGUCCAAUUAUUCUACCCAAAGCAAGGCAGCAUAUCAUCCCCAGGCUAGAAAGCAGACUCCCUCCAGUUUAGCCAUAUUCCGACGAGGUCCCACCUCCAUACCCCUGCAAGGGGCUAGGGAUGAAGCCCAGGGCCACAGAACCACUAGGCAAAUGCUCUCCCACUGAGUUCCAUCUCUAGCCUGGAGCACACUGCUUUUGAAGGCUGCAUUUAGUGAAAGGCAUUCUUUAGCUGUUCUUUCUGCCACCCUUCCAUUGCCCAGCCUUUACCUGUCUUCUUGUGUCCCAACUUCCACUACACUGGCAGGGAAUCCCUGAGAAUCACUGGUGCUAAUGGUCUCCAUCUAUACUCUCCUUUGUUGAUCUGUGGGGUGUGAACUCAGCAUGUGGGGUGGCUGGGCUAUGGGGUACAUUCUAUGUAUAUCCCCAACACCUCUACCCAGGAAGCAGGUCCGGGUCUUAACCCAGCAAAGCACCAAUCUACAUCUUGUUAACCUUUGCUUCGGUUGAGUUGGCUCCUGAAUGGUUGUUUUCCUAGGGUGGCUGAGACCCAUUUACUAAGCCUCGUUGGUUUUAUUUUGGCUCUAGCUGCACAGUUUCCGAAAUCUAUGCAUCUGGAGUAAGCAUUUUCUGGUCGCCACUGAAAAGCAUGCUGGCAGAUUCUGCUCCGAUAAUUGCUGUAAUAAACACACUUUAUUACGUC